This 29-nucleotide small RNA is filed under the name Bombyx mori (domestic silkworm). Its description in RNAcentral is "ovarian small RNA-17530". Lineage: Eukaryota; Metazoa; Arthropoda; Insecta; Lepidoptera; Bombycidae. The record is from RNAcentral.
GGGGCACUUAAAGACCUCACUAGAGAUGC